Molecule: ribosomal RNA, 460 nt
Filed under: uncultured bacterium
Lineage: Bacteria
Description: partial 16S ribosomal RNA
Rfam family: Bacterial small subunit ribosomal RNA
Source: RNAcentral
CCUACGGGGGGCAGCAGUGAGGAAUAUUGGUCAAUGGACGAGAGUCUGAACCAGCCAAGUAGCGUGAAGGAUGACUGCCCUAUGGGUUGUAAACUUCUUUUAUAAAGGAAUAAAACGAGGCACGUGUGCCUUUUUGCAUGUACUUUAUGAAUAAGGAUCGGCUAACUCCGUGCCAGCAGCCGCGGUAAUACGGAGGUUCCGAGCGUUAUCCGGAUUUACUGGGUUUAAGGGGAGCGUAGAUGGGUUGUUAAGUCAGUUGUGAAAGUUUGCGGCUCAACCGUAAAAUUGCAAUGGAAACUGGCAGGCUGGAGUACAGUUGAGGUAAGCGGAAUUCGUAGUGUAGCGGUGAAAUGCUUAGAUAUCACGAGGAACCCCAAUGGCGAAGGCGGCUUACUAGACUGUAACUGACAUUGAUGCUCGAAAGUGUGGGUAUCAAACAGGAUUAGAUACCCCAGUAGUC